CAAUUCUUUGGAUUUCCAAUGACUUGUCUCGUAGAAAAGGGGUGGCCUUUCCAAAAAGCCUUGGUUUACCAUGAUUGCGUUCACAAAGAAGUAACUGAUCAAACAGUGCCACUCGGGGAUCAUUUAGAUCAAGCUCGCAUCGAUCGCCAAUGAAUUCUGCAAAUGCCUGUGAGCUACAAAGUGAUGAAAUCCAACUCCCGUGAACUUUGGAAGCUUGCCGAGUAAAUUUAUUGAAGUCGAAUGAUCC
Schizosaccharomyces pombe (fission yeast) is the source of this 247-nucleotide non-coding RNA. The record is from the annotation of a GenBank genome assembly. Lineage: Eukaryota; Fungi; Ascomycota; Schizosaccharomycetes; Schizosaccharomycetales; Schizosaccharomycetaceae.